This 1501-nucleotide ribosomal RNA is filed under the name Sclerencoelia fraxinicola. RNAcentral's name for it is "eukaryotic LSU rRNA". The stretch from base 589 to 1501 matches the Rfam family "Eukaryotic large subunit ribosomal RNA", at positions 1 to 931 of the family's 3401-position model. Lineage: Eukaryota; Fungi; Ascomycota; Leotiomycetes; Helotiales; Sclerotiniaceae. The record is from RNAcentral.
GAUUGAAUGGCUAAGUGAGGCUUUCGGACUGCCCUAGGAAGGGUGGCAACACCCAUCCAGGGGCGGAAAGUUAUCCAAACUUGGUCAUUUAGAGGAAGUAAAAGUCGUAACAAGGUUUCCGUAGGUGAACCUGCGGAAGGAUCAUUACAGAGUUCGUGCCCGGAAGGGUAGACCUCCCACCCUUGUGUAUUGUUACUUUGUUGCUUUGGCAGGCUGCCUUUGCGCCUGCCAGAGGUUCGUCAAACUCUUUUUAUCAAUGUCGUCUGAGUACUAUACAAUAGUUAAAACUUUCAACAACGGAUCUCUUGGUUCUGGCAUCGAUGAAGAACGCAGCGAAAUGCGAUAAGUAAUGUGAAUUGCAGAAUUCAGUGAAUCAUCGAAUCUUUGAACGCACAUUGCGCCCCUUGGUAUUCCGGGGGGCAUGCCUGUUCGAGCGUCAUUUCAACCCUCAAGCGCAGCUUGGUAUUGAGCCCUUGUCAGUGAUGGCAGGCUCUAAAAUCAGUGGCGGCGCCGUUGGGUCCUGAACGUAGUAAUAUCUCUCGUUACAGGCCCCCAGCGUGCUUCUGCCAACACCUAAAUUUCUAGUGUUGACCUCGGAUCAGGUAGGGAUACCCGCUGAACUUAAGCAUAUCAAUAAGCGGAGGAAAAGAAACCAACAGGGAUUACCUCAGUAACGGCGAGUGAAGCGGUAAAAGCUCAAAUUUGAAAUCUGGCUCUCUUAGGGUCCGAGUUGUAAUUUGUAGAAGAUGCUUCGGGUGUGGUUCCGGUCUAAGUUCCUUGGAACAGGACGUCAUAGAGGGUGAGAAUCCCGUAUGUGAUUGGAUACCUACGCUCAUGUGAAGCUCUUUCGACGAGUCGAGUUGUUUGGGAAUGCAGCUCAAAAUGGGUGGUAUAUUUCAUCUAAAGCUAAAUAUUGGCCAGAGACCGAUAGCGCACAAGUAGAGUGAUCGAAAGAUGAAAAGCACUUUGGAAAGAGAGUUAAACAGUACGUGAAAUUGUUGAAAGGGAAGCGCUUGCAAUCAGACUUGGACUUGGUGUUCAGCAGGGCCUCGUGCCCUGUGUAUUUCACCAAGUACAGGCCAGCAUCAGUUUGGGUGGUUAGAUAAAGGCUUAGAGAAUGUGGCCCUCUUCGGGGGGUGUUAUAGCUCUAGGUGCAAUGUAGCCUACCUGGACUGAGGACCGCGCUUCGGCUAGGAUGCUGGCGUAAUGGUUGUAAGCGACCCGUCUUGAAACACGGACCAAGGAGUGUACCUAAUAUGCGAGUGUUUGGGUGUUAAACCCAUACGCGUAAUGAAAGUGAACGGAGGUGAGAACCCUUAAGGGUGCAUCAUCGACCGAUCCUGAUGUCUUCGGAUGGAUUUGAGUAAGAGCAUAUUGGGUGCUACCCGAAAGAUGGUGAUCUAUACGUGAAUAGGGUGAAGCCAGAGGAAACUCUGGUGGAGGCUCGCAGCGGUUCUGACGUGCAAAUCGAUCGUCAAAUUUGCGUAUAGGGGCGAAAGAC